This 235-nucleotide long non-coding RNA is filed under the name Mytilus galloprovincialis (Mediterranean mussel). The record is from RNAcentral. Lineage: Eukaryota; Metazoa; Mollusca; Bivalvia; Mytilida; Mytilidae.
UGGUAUGAUUGCCAAUGAGACAACUAUCCACAAAAGACCAAAAUGACACAGACAUUAACAACUACAGGUCACCGUACGGCCUUCAACAAUGAACAAAGCCGGUACCGCAUAGUCAGCUAUAAAAGGCCACGAUAAGACAAUGUAAAACAAUUCAAACGAGAAAACUAACGGCCUUAUUUUUGUGAAAAAAAAAAUGGACGAAAAACAAAUAUGUAACACAUAAACAAACGGCAAC